UACGUAGGGUGCGAGCGUUAAUCGGAAUUACUGGGCGUAAAGGGUGUGUAGGCGGUUGUUUAAGUUUGGUGUGAAAUCUCCCGGCUCAACUGGGAGGGUGCGCCGAAUACUGAAUGACUAGAGUGUGGGAGAGGUGAGUGGAAUUCCUGGUGUAGCGGUGAAAUGCGUAGAUAUCAGGAGGAACACCGGUGGUGUAGACGGCUCACUGGACCAUAACUGACGCUGAGACACGAAAGCGUGGGUAGCAAACAGG
This 253-nucleotide ribosomal RNA is filed under the name uncultured bacterium. RNAcentral's name for it is "partial 16S ribosomal RNA". It matches the Rfam family "Bacterial small subunit ribosomal RNA", at positions 524 to 776 of the family's 1533-position model. The record is from RNAcentral.